UGACUCUCGACAAUGGAUAUCUUGGCUCUUGCAUUGAUG
This 39-nucleotide ribosomal RNA is filed under the name Olea europaea subsp. laperrinei. RNAcentral describes it as "partial 5.8S ribosomal RNA". The record is from RNAcentral. Lineage: Eukaryota; Viridiplantae; Streptophyta; Magnoliopsida; Lamiales; Oleaceae.